Molecule: long non-coding RNA, 404 nt
Organism: Dermacentor albipictus
Lineage: Eukaryota; Metazoa; Arthropoda; Arachnida; Ixodida; Ixodidae
Source: RefSeq, a predicted model, not a curated record
GUUAGUAUAUAUACCCGGGGCAGAGUCUGUCAUCGGCAUCGUUCUCUUUGUCUCAGAGAAGCAACAUCUCCAGCCGGAACUAGGCGGAAGGAAAAAGAUGCGUUUCAUCGUUUACAUCGCUGUCCUCGUGCUCACGGCUGCUGUCGCCCUUGCUGGCUACCACGGUCACGGAGGCUACGGAGGUUACGGCGGACACGGCGGUGGCUACGGUCACGGAGGCUACGGCCACGGUGGUUAUGGAGGCCACGGCGGAUACGGAGGCCAUGGAGGGUACGGAGGCCAUGGACACGGAGGAUACGGCGGCUACGGAAGGCGGUGAUUGAUGCCCAGACCACGAUUCGUAGACCGGGCCUCCUGAGUGCAAUGUUACAAUAAAUUAUUACCUGCGUAUCAGGUGACAAGAA